Molecule: long non-coding RNA, 934 nt
Organism: Larimichthys crocea (large yellow croaker)
Lineage: Eukaryota; Metazoa; Chordata; Actinopteri; Sciaenidae
Exons: 3
Source: RefSeq, a predicted model, not a curated record
AAAAAACUCUUUUUUGAGCAUUCCAUGAGGAGAAGGUUGACAAAGUCAUCGAGGCAGAUCUGAAAGGCACAUUCAAAACUAACAAAUUGCCAAAGAUCGAUACAUUUCCAGACAUAUUCUCCAGGUCUUCCCAAGGAUCUGCUAUGACCAAAAACUCUUUGAAAAUCAAGAAGAAGAAAUGUGGUAAAACCAUUGAUGACAUUUUGAGCUCUCCUGAACCCUUUGAAGACAAAACUGAGAAAAAGAGAAAAAACAAAAGGACAGUUGACAAGUUUCAAGAGGACGUUGAGAAGGACUUUGAAUGGCUAUCGAUCAGCAACAGCCACACUCUCCUCAGCAAGGAGGUCCAUGGGUCUGUGGAGUCCACCAAUUCUUUUGUCACGCAGAUUGAUGACAAAAAGAAAGAAAUCCUUGGCGAUUUCCCAAAGACUGUGGUUGAGCUUCAAAUGGAAAACCUAACCCCCGAAAAUCCCAAGUACAUGGAACCCAAGAUUUCUCAAAGGCCCGUUCUUGUCUCAAAGAUAAGACAAAUGACAAAGUGGCCAAGUCAUCCAAGCAUGUCCAAUUUACUGUGGUCCGAAAACUCUUCUUUGACGUUCUGGGCUUUCCAGAAGUCAUCGAGGAACAGAUUGACGAAGUGUCAAGGAAGACAUGACUGGAUAUAAUUACCAAGAGACUGUGGAAGCACUUCCAGAGGAAGUUGAGGAGCAGCGCUCUGUGUCCAGUGAAGACGACUACACUCCCUUCAGUGAGGAAUCUGAGAUGUCUGUUCAGGAGGAUGAGGAGAUGUUCCUCAGAGCUUCUCUUGAAGAGGCCUUGGAGAGAGAUGCAGAAAUAAGUGUUUCUCUCCAAGAGAUCUAUGACGAAGUCAUUGAAGAACAGAUUGACGAAGUCGUUGAGGAACAGAUUGACGAAGUCAUCGAGGUAGACAUGA